AUACCCUACUAUGCCUAGCCGUAACACAACAAUCAAAUUACCAAUUGUUCGCCAAAUAACUACGAGUAAAGACUUAAAAUUUAAAAGACUUGACGGUACCUCAUAACAACCUAGAGGAGCCUGUCAAAUAACCGAUACUCCACGAUUAACCCAACCUCCCCUAGCCUUAACAGUCUAUAUACCGCCGUCGCCAGCCUACCUUGUGAAAGAAACAAAGUGAGCUAAAUAGCCACCACACUAACACGACAGGUCGAGGUGUAACUUAUGGGAAGGACCAUGAUGGGCUACAUUUUCUAAAACAGAAAACACGAAUAAACUAUGAAAUAAGAAACUGAAGGCGGAUUUAGCAGUAAACUAAGAACAAAAUACCUAGUCGAAACCAAUGCAAUGAGGUGCGUACACACCGCCCGUCAUCCCUGUCAACUAAACAACAAAAUUCAUAAACACAAAUACUACCCAAAACAGGGCAAGUCGU
Molecule: ribosomal RNA, 475 nt
Filed under: Coluber constrictor (Eastern racer)
Lineage: Eukaryota; Metazoa; Chordata; Lepidosauria; Squamata; Colubridae
Description: partial 12S ribosomal RNA
Source: RNAcentral